GGGGCUGUAGCUCAACUGGCUGAGCGUUUCCCUUGCACGGAAAAGGAUGUGGGUUCAAGUCCCAUCAGCUCCA
Molecule: transfer RNA, 73 nt
Filed under: Aureispira sp.
Lineage: Bacteria; Pseudomonadati; Bacteroidota; Saprospiria; Saprospirales; Saprospiraceae
Also listed under: 1 other name
Description: tRNA-Ala
Rfam family: tRNA
About the family: Transfer RNA (tRNA) molecules are approximately 80 nucleotides in length.
Source: RNAcentral